Neodiprion fabricii is the source of this 1580-nucleotide long non-coding RNA. RefSeq lists it as uncharacterized. The transcript is spliced from 3 exons. Lineage: Eukaryota; Metazoa; Arthropoda; Insecta; Hymenoptera; Diprionidae. The record is from RefSeq and is a predicted model, not a curated record.
GGCGCUUGAAAUAUCGGCUGGAUCACAUCAGAAAAUAUAUCUGGGUAUGCUGUGAUGGUCGCUUCCCCUUUUACUGGUUUGCCGUAGGUGUACCUAAAACGUUUACAUCUAAUUAUUUCGAGAAAUGAGUUUGAGAAGCACUCGAUACACCUGUGCGUCAGAGCGAUAGUAGGAAGCUACGUCUUUGCCGAAACAGGAGCUAUGUCUCACUGAUAUUGAACGUGAUGAGCAUAGCUUUACAGGUAACUCGCUACUCACCUCAAAGAAUUUGGGUCGGCUUUCCCUGAUUCUCUACUAAACGCAGCUUUCUAAUAUGGAACAAAGCUAUCGGGAUUCUUUACCGAAAACACAAUCUUCCGCAGGCGUAGGAUGAUCAGCGAUCCAGGAAAUGAUGAACCGCGAAAUGUACAACAGGAGCAAAGCAAUCACAAUUUGAUACACGCCGAUGAGUUAAAUACUCGUAGGACGUAUAAAUAAGGCGCGUCGCUGUACGCGGAUCUUUUCGGAUUUUGGAGGUGAUAAAACAGAGCACACGAAGAACCGGGCGUGUCGAAGCGAACGAUGAAUGUAGUAGGAAAUUAGCGCGGCGAAACUGGUUUUCUCCGAGCGACGGCGGUCACACCUUGAGAAGAUCUGUGGGACCGAUGCAGUGCCAAUCAAGGUAGCCGUUGAUCGCUAGGAAUCCUUUCUCUCCUCCGCAUUCCCCACUUUUUCCUCGAGUAUGACGCCCCGUGACUUUUUAUACAUAUACAUAUAAUGUAUUCUUGUAGACUGCCGAUCUAACGUAUAUACAUGGGUAUAAACCGUUACGAUUACGCAUAUUGAAGUACGGUGUAAUACAAUUGAAGUUUUAUGCAAGUGGUACGACAUAACUGUGCGUUUGGGAAAAUCGCAAUUAUUCCCGGACAUUCGGCCGCUGUUGCUUAUGCAGGUUUAUGUAUUGCAACUCCUAAUUCAUAAUGAUUAAAUAACCAGCUUAUUAUCCUCAGUCGUAAAAAGGACUAUAUCCUACAAAUUAUGACGCUCCAAAAAGCAGGACUGCAAUGAGCCGCGCAAUGGCCGCUUAUAAAUUGAGCCGCCCAUGUUUCUCAUCUAUCUCCUAUUCUUUAAUCGUGUAGUCAGAUGCGUGUUUUCUAUUUCUUUGAUUCACCUUGCUCAACACCUGCCCACACAGACAUCGCAUAUUCAACAAUUGGUAAAAUCCACUCGGUGAUGUCGAUAUGAAUACACAUUCGUGGUUGCAAUUUAAGAACUCUCUAACUGAAAAGAAAAAAUGCAUUUCGUUCGGUGAUUUCAUCAUUUCACCUUGCAUACGAAGGUUGCCUGCACAGACUUUACGUGGGUGUCAGUCACUGCCUGUACUGUACUGCAUAUGCUUGCUGUGGAACCUGCCACUAUGCUACCAUCCCACUGAUCGUCACGUAACUUAAAUGCUCAAACGGCUCUGCAGUGUUGCCACCCCAUUGAUUGUAAGGGGUUUAGUGGCGGAAUCUUAGAGCAUUUACAGUAAUAUGCUCCAAGGGGGAAUCUGAUCGUGAGCCAUCUUGAAUUAAGCGACGAGCGGUGAGAGAGAGAUAGGU